This 413-nucleotide ribosomal RNA is filed under the name uncultured Planctomycetaceae bacterium. RNAcentral's name for it is "bacterial SSU rRNA". It matches the Rfam family "Bacterial small subunit ribosomal RNA", at positions 506 to 916 of the family's 1533-position model. The record is from RNAcentral. Lineage: Bacteria; Pseudomonadati; Planctomycetota; Planctomycetia; Planctomycetales; Planctomycetaceae.
UGCCAGCCGCCGCGGUAAGACGAACCAAGCGAACGUUAUUCGGAAUUACUGGGCUUAAAGCGCGUGUAGGCGGACUACCACGUUGGUUGUUGAAAUCCCCCGGCUUAACCGGGGAACUGGCACCAAUACGAGUAGUCUGGAGGUGGGUAGGGGAGACUGGAACUUCCGGUGGAGCGGUGAAAUGCGUUGAGAUCGGAAGGAACGCCCGCGGCGAAAGCGAGUCUCUGGACCCAUACUGACGCUGAGACGCGAAAGCCAGGGGAGCAAACGGGAUUAGAUACCCCGGUAGUCCUGGCUGUAAACAUUGGGCACUGGGUAGUGGAACCGCCGAUGGUUUCACUGCCGCAGGGAAACCGUGAAGUGCCCCGCCUGGGGAGUAUGGUCGCAAGGCUGAAACUCAAAGGAAUUGGCGG